UUGAACUUGGUUUCAAAAAUCCAUAUACUUGUAUCUAAGUGGAGUGUUUCAUUCAUUCUUCCUUUAUUGAUGGUGGUUGCUAUGUUGGAGCUGAAACUUGAGGGAGCAAUGUUGCUGAGAAUGAAGAAUUUGAAGAAUUUGAAGAAUUUCUGGCUUGCCACGUAUUGUAAUGACUACGGAUGCUCUAGUGGUGCAGCUGCCCCGUCAUUCUGUGUAAAGCAACUUUGCAAAAGUGGUAAUCAAGAAUGCGAGGAUAGAUCUUGUUUCACCUGUAAAAUGCUGCUGAGCAGCUCAGUUCCCGGGCUAGGCUGGACGGGGCUGGGCCUUUCUUUCCAUCAGUUCGGAUUUGGAGCAUGGUGGUGUAGCAUAAAGAAGUGAUUAUUGUACUGAUUGAAACCAACAACUAAGUUAAAUUAACAACAGAUAAUGAGUGAGAAAGUAAAGUUGAUUUCCUCGUCUGAGGAGGAGGAGGAGAAGGAAAAGGAGGAGGAGGAGGAGAAAGAGGAAGAGGAAGAGGAAGAGGAAGAGGAAGAGGAAGAGGAGGAGGAGGAG
This is a non-coding RNA of Salvia hispanica, 552 nucleotides long. Lineage: Eukaryota; Viridiplantae; Streptophyta; Magnoliopsida; Lamiales; Lamiaceae. The record is from RefSeq and is a predicted model, not a curated record.